GACGAACGCUGGCGGCGUGCUUAACACAUGCAAGUCGAACGGAAAGGCCCUGCUUUUGUGGGGUGCUCGAGUGGCGAACGGGUGAGUAACACGUGAGUAACCUGCCCUUGACUUUGGGAUAACUUCAGGAAACUGGGGCUAAUACCGGAUAGGAGCUCCUGCUGCAUGGUGGGGGUUGGAAAGUUUCGGCGGUUGGGGAUGGACUCGCGGCUUAUCAGCUUGUUGGUGGGGUAGUGGCUUACCAAGGCUUUGACGGGUAGCCGGCCUGAGAGGGUGACCGGCCACAUUGGGACUGAGAUACGGCCCAGACUCCUACGGGAGGCAGCAGUGGGGAAUAUUGCACAAUGGGCGGAAGCCUGAUGCAGCAACGCCGCGUGCGGGAUGACGGCCUUCGGGUUGUAAACCGCUUUCGCCUGUGACGAAGCGUGAGUGACGGUAAUGGGUAAAGAAGCACCGGCUAACUACGUGCCAGCAGCCGCGGUGAUACGUAGGGUGCGAGCGUUGUCCGGAUUUAUUGGGCGUAAAGGGCUCGUAGGUGGUUGAUCGCGUCGGAAGUGUAAUCUUGGGGCUUAACCCUGAGCGUGCUUUCGAUACGGGUUGACUUGAGGAAGGUAGGGGAGAAUGGAAUUCCUGGUGGAGCGGUGGAAUGCGCAGAUAUCAGGAGGAACACCAGUGGCGAAGGCGGUUCUCUGGGCCUUUCCUGACGCUGAGGAGCGAAAGCGUGGGGAGCGAACAGGCUUAGAUACCCUGGCAGUCCACGCUGUAAACGGUGGGUACUAGGUGUGGGGUCCAUUCCACGGGUUCCGUGCCGUAGCUAACGCUUUAAGUACCCCGCCUGGGGAGUACGGCCGCAAGGCUAAUACUCAAAGGAAUUGACGGGGCCCCGCACAAGCGGCGGAGCAUGCGGAUUAAUUCGAUGCAACGCGUAGAACCUUACCUGGGUUUGACAUGGAUCGGGAGUGCUCAGAGAUGGGUGUGCCUCUUUUGGGGUCGGUUCACAGGUGGUGCAUGGCUGUCGUCAGCUCGUGUCGUGAGAUGUUGGGUUAAGUCCCGCAACGAGCGCAACCCUUGUUCACUGUUGCCAGCACGUUAUGGUGGGGACUCAGUGGAGACCGCCGGGGUCAACUCGGAGGAAGGUGGGGAUGACGUCAAGUCAUCAUGCCCCUUAUGUCCAGGGCUUCACGCAUGCUACAAUGGCUGGUACAGAGAGUGGCGAGCCUGUGAGGGUGAGCGAAUCUCGGAAAGCCGGUCUCAGUUCGGAUUGGGGUCUGCAACUCGACCUCAUGAAGUCGGAGUCGCUAGUAAUCGCAGAUCAGCAACGCUGCGGUGAAUACGUUCCCGGGGCU
RNAcentral lists this ribosomal RNA (1346 nucleotides) under uncultured bacterium. Its description in RNAcentral is "partial 16S ribosomal RNA". It matches the Rfam family "Bacterial small subunit ribosomal RNA", at positions 28 to 1381 of the family's 1533-position model. The record is from RNAcentral.